CUAUACAUGCAGUCGAGCGAAUGGAUUAAGAGCUUGCUCUUAUGAAGUUAGCGGCGGACGGGUGAGUAACACGUGGGUAACCUGCCCAUAAGACUGGGAUAACUCCGGGAAACCGGGGCUAAUACCGGAUAACAUUUUGAACCGCAUGGUUCGAAAUUGAAAGGCGGCUUCGGCUGUCACUUAUGGAUGGACCCGCGUCGCAUUAGCUAGUUGGUGAGGUAACGGCUCACCAAGGCAACGAUGCGUAGCCGACCUGAGAGGGUGAUCGGCCACACUGGGACUGAGACACGGCCCAGACUCCUACGGGAGGCAGCAGUAGGGAAUCUUCCGCAAUGGACGAAAGUCUGACGGAGCAACGCCGCGUGAGUGAUGAAGGCUUUCGGGUCGUAAAACUCUGUUGUUAGGGAAGAACAAGUGCUAGUUGAAUAAGCUGGCACCUUGACGGUACCUAACCAGAAAGCCACGGCUAACUACGUGCCAGCAGCCGCGGUAAUACGUAGGUGGCAAGCGUUAUCCGGAAUUAUUGGGCGUAAAGCGCGCGCAGGUGGUUUCUUAAGUCUGAUGUGAAAGCCCACGGCUCACCCGUGGAGGGUCAUUGGAAACUGGGAGACUUG
RNAcentral lists this ribosomal RNA (614 nucleotides) under Bacillus cereus. RNAcentral describes it as "bacterial SSU rRNA". It matches the Rfam family "Bacterial small subunit ribosomal RNA", at positions 49 to 644 of the family's 1533-position model. Lineage: Bacteria; Bacillati; Bacillota; Bacilli; Caryophanales; Bacillaceae. The record is from RNAcentral.